ACGCAUUUGACUCCCUCUCCGAGGACGCCGCAGCCCGCGGGGAAGUGCAAACGUGACGGCCUUGAAGGCGGGAGACGGCAGGUGGCCGGUGGCGGGGCUCGUCCCUUUCGCCGGUUGUUAGCCUUCCCGUCGGUGGCUCGUCUCCCCGCGGAGGUAUCAUGACGUCCUUCGGGGCGUCUGCAUCUCCUCCUCGUUAGAAGUCUGGACGUGCAGUGGCGAGCGAAGGCAACCGCGCGGCCGCACUCCGCCGGAGUGGGCCAGCGUACGGUCGGCGCCGGCGGCCGCUGAGGACCAGUCGGAGGUCGGAGGUUAGCGGCGAGUAGGUCGGUCACCCACCCGACCCGUCUUGAAACACGGACCAAGGAGUCUAACAUGUGCGCGAGUCAAUGGGUCUCGAACAAGCCCAGAGGCGCAAUGAAAGUAAAGGUCGGCACCAGCCGGCCGAGUCGGGAUCCCCCGCGAGAGCGGGGGCGCACCGACGACCCGUCUUAUGCCGUUCACGGCUUGGGCGGAGUGUGAGCGUACACGUUGGGACCCGAAAGAUGGUGAACUAUGCCCGGACAGGACGAGGCCAGAGGAAACUCUGGUGGAGGUCCGCAGCGGUUCU
This 607-nucleotide ribosomal RNA is filed under the name Lycosa fasciiventris. RNAcentral describes it as "eukaryotic LSU rRNA". The stretch from base 358 to 607 matches the Rfam family "Eukaryotic large subunit ribosomal RNA", at positions 665 to 887 of the family's 3401-position model. The record is from RNAcentral. Lineage: Eukaryota; Metazoa; Arthropoda; Arachnida; Araneae; Lycosidae.